RNAcentral lists this ribosomal RNA (497 nucleotides) under uncultured bacterium. Its description in RNAcentral is "partial 16S ribosomal RNA". It matches the Rfam family "Bacterial small subunit ribosomal RNA", at positions 28 to 507 of the family's 1533-position model. The record is from RNAcentral.
GAUGAACGCUGGCGGCGUGCCUAAUACAUGCAAGUCGAGCGAACAGACGAGGAGCUUGCUCCUCUGAUGUUAGCGGCGGACGGGUGAGUAACACGUGGAUAACCUACCUAUAAGACUGGGAUAACUUCGGGAAACCGGAGCUAAUACCGGAUAACAUGUUGAACCGCAUGGUUCAACAGUGAAAGACGGUCUUGCUGUCACUUAUAGAUGGAUCCGCGCCGCAUUAGCUAGUUGGUAAGGUAACGGCUUACCAAGGCAACGAUGCGUAGCCGACCUGAGAGGGUGAUCGGCCACACUGGAACUGAGACACGGUCCAGACUCCUACGGGAGGCAACAGUAGGGAAUCUUCCGCAAUGGGCGAAAGCCUGACGGAGCAACGCCGCGUGAGUGAAGAAGGUCUUCGGAUCGUAAAACUCUGUUAUUAGGGAAGAACAAAUGUGUAAGUAACUAUGCACGUCUUGACGGUACCUAAUCAGAAAGCCGCGGCUAACUACGUG